UUAAGUUAGAAAGGGCGCACGGUGGAUGCCUUGGCACUAGGAGCCGAUGAAGGACGGGACGAACACCGAUAUGCUUCGGGGAGCUGUAAGCAAGCUUUGAUCCGGAGAUUUCCGAAUGGGGAAACCCACCACUCGUAAUGGAGUGGUAUCCAUAUCUGAAUACAUAGGAUAUGAGAAGGCAGACCCGGGGAACUGAAACAUCUAAGUACCCGGAGGAAGAGAAAGCAAAUGCGAUUCCCUGAGUAGCGGCGAGCGAAACGGGACCAGCCCAAACCAAGAGGCUUGCCUCUUGGGGUUGUAGGACACUCUGUACGGAGUUACAAAGGAACGAGGUAGAUGAAGAGGUCUGGAAAGGCCCGCCAUAGGAGGUAACAGCCCUGUAGUCAAAACUUCGUUCUCUCCUGAGUGGAUCCUGAGUACGGCGGAACACGUGAAAUUCCGUCGGAAUCCGGGAGGACCAUCUCCCAAGGCUAAAUACUCCCUAGUGACCGAUAGUGAACCAGUACCGUGAGGGAAAGGUGAAAAGCACCCCGGAAGGGGAGUGAAAGAGAUCCUGAAACCGUGUGCCUACAAGUAGUCAGAGCCCGUUAACGGGUGAUGGCGUGCCUUUUGUAGAAUGAACCGGCGAGUUACGAUCCCGUGCAAGGUUAAGCAGAAGAUGCGGAGCCGCAGCGAAAGCGAGUCUGAAUAGGGCGAAUUGAGUACGUGGUCGUAGACCCGAAACCAGGUGAUCUACCCAUGUCCAGGGUGAAGUUCAGGUAACACUGAAUGGAGGCCCGAACCCACGCACGUUGAAAAGUGCGGGGAUGAGGUGUGGGUAGGGGUGAAAUGCCAAUCGAACCUGGAGAUAGCUGGUUCUCUCCGAAAUAGCUUUAGGGCUAGCCUCAAGGUAAGAGUCUCGGAGGUAGAGCACUGAUUGGACUAGGGGCCCCUACCGGGUUACCGAAUUCAGUCAAACUCCGAAUGCCGAUGACUUAUCCUUGGGAGUCAGACUGCGAGUGAUAAGAUCCGUAGUCGAAAGGGAAACAGCCCAGACCGCCAGCUAAGGUCCCAAAGUAUACGUUAAGUGGAAAAGGAUGUGGAGUUGCUUAGACAACCAGGAUGUUGGCUUAGAAGCAGCCACCAUUUAAAGAGUGCGUAAUAGCUCACUGGUCGAGUGACUCUGCGCCGAAAAUGUACCGGGGCUAAACGUAUCACCGAAGCUGCGGACUGUUCUUCGAACAGUGGUAGGAGAGCGUUCUAAGGGCUGUGAAGCAAGACCGGAAGGACUUGUGGAGCGCUUAGAAGUGAGAAUGCCGGUAUGAGUAGCGAAAGAGGGGUGAGAAUCCCCUCCACCGAAUGCCUAAGGUUUCCUGAGGAAGGCUCGUCCGCUCAGGGUUAGUCGGGACCUAAGCCGAGGCCGAAAGGCGUAGGCGAUGGAUAACAGGUUGAUAUUCCUGUACCACCUCCUCACCAUUUGAGCAAUGGGGGGACGCAGGAGGAUAGGGUAAGCGCGGUAUUGGAUAUCCGCGUCCAAGCAGUUAGGCUGGGAAAUAGGCAAAUCCGUUUCCCGUGAAGGCUGAGCUGUGAUGGCGAGCGAAUUAUAGUAGCGAAGUUCCUGAUUCCACACUGCCAAGAAAAGCCUCUAGCGAGGUGAGAGGUGCCCGUACCGCAAACCGACACAGGUAGGCGAGGAGAGAAUCCUAAGGUGAUCGAGAGAACUCUCGUUAAGGAACUCGGCAAAAUGACCCCGUAACUUCGGGAGAAGGGGUGCUCUGUUAGGGUGCAAGCCCGAGAGAGCCGCAGUGAAUAGGCCCAGGCGACUGUUUAGCAAAAACACAGGUCUCUGCGAAGCCGUAAGGCGAAGUAUAGGGGCUGACGCCUGCCCGGUGCUGGAAGGUUAAGAGGAGCGCUUAGCGUAAGCGAAGGUGCGAAUUGAAGCCCCAGUAAACGGCGGCCGUAACUAUAACGGUCCUAAGGUAGCGAAAUUCCUUGUCGGGUAAGUUCCGACCCGCACGAAAGGCGCAACGAUCUGGGCACUGUCUCAACGAGAGACUCGGUGAAAUUAUAGUACCUGUGAAGAUGCAGGUUACCCGCGACAGGACGGAAAGACCCCGUGGAGCUUUACUGCAGCCUGAUAUUGAAUGUUGGUACAGCUUGUACAGGAUAGGUAGGAGCCUUGGAAAUCGGAGCGCCAGCUUCGGUGGAGGCAUCGGUGGGAUACUACCCUGGCUGUAUUGACCUUCUAACCCGCCGCCCUUAUCGGGCGGGGAGACAGUGUCAGGUGGGCAGUUUGACUGGGGCGGUCGCCUCCUAAAAGGUAACGGAGGCGCCCAAAGGUUCCCUCAGAAUGGUUGGAAAUCAUUCGCAGAGUGUAAAGGCACAAGGGAGCUUGACUGCGAGACCUACAAGUCGAGCAGGGACGAAAGUCGGGCUUAGUGAUCCGGUGGUUCCGCAUGGAAGGGCCAUCGCUCAACGGAUAAAAGCUACCCCGGGGAUAACAGGCUUAUCUCCCCCAAGAGUCCACAUCGACGGGGAGGUUUGGCACCUCGAUGUCGGCUCAUCGCAUCCUGGGGCUGUAGUCGGUCCCAAGGGUUGGGCUGUUCGCCCAUUAAAGCGGUACGCGAGCUGGGUUCAGAACGUCGUGAGACAGUUCGGUCCCUAUCCGUCGCGGGCGCAGGAAAUUUGAGAGGAGCUGUCCUUAGUACGAGAGGACCGGGAUGGACGCACCGCUGGUGUACCAGUUGUUCUGCCAAGGGCAUCGCUGGGUAGCUAUGUGCGGACGGGAUAAGUGCUGAAAGCAUCUAAGCAUGAAGCCCCCCUCAAGAUGAGAUUUCCCAUUCCGCAAGGAAGUAAGAUCCCUGAAAGAUGAUCAGGUUGAUAGGUCUGAGGUGGAAGUGUGGCGACACAUGGAGCUGACAGAUACUAAUCGAUCGAGGACUUAACCAA
This 2928-nucleotide ribosomal RNA is filed under the name Bacillus velezensis. RNAcentral describes it as "23S ribosomal RNA". It matches the Rfam family "Bacterial large subunit ribosomal RNA". Lineage: Bacteria; Bacillati; Bacillota; Bacilli; Caryophanales; Bacillaceae. The record is from RNAcentral.